AUUUUCAUGCCUAUUUCUCUCACCAGCCACUGCCUCAACAGCUUUUUUCUUUAUCUUCUCUUUAAAUUUAGGGGAUGCUCAAGAAGCAAAACCAGGAUUUUUCAGAGUAAGGCAAAGAGGCUUUGAAUUUUCUUACAUUAAUGUUUAUUCCUAUUAUUUUUGCUUAUGGAUUUUCCAAUGAUUCUAACCUUUACUCUUUUAAACUAAUGAACUAAUUAAAACUUUGGUUUUGUUAUUUAUAUCCUGGUGUCCUUGCUUUCUAUACAUUUUGAUAACUUUCAUUUUUUACUUUAAAGUAGAGAAUAAAUACAUUCUGUAUUUGUCAACUUUUUUUAGAACUACAUUAAGCCUUUUUGGAAAUGGUCCAUCCCAGAACAAAUCAAAUCGUCAAGUAUUUAUUAAGUGCAAAUAACAAUGUGCUCACUCCUAAAAUGAGUAUUGUGGGGAGGUGGAAGUUAGAGAAGACGUGUUUCCUACCCUUAGGAAGCUUGCAAGCUAGAUAGAAUUAUAAAAGUAACCAAGAAGAAACAAUAUCAAGCAUUAUAGAACAGUAUUUGCUGAAGUCUGAGGUGGAGAUUUGAAACAAAACUGUAGAGUUUGCAGAAAUGAGAGGCUGGGGUUUGGAGUUGCCAGGUGAGAAGUGGGGUUUCAUUUGGGUAUUUAUGGAAAGCCUCCCUUUGAUAGAUGGAAAGGAGACAAAACACUUCAGACCACAGUAACAUAGUCAGGGUUAAGGAGCAAAAAUCCAUAAUCCCAAGGAUUAAUAUUGAUUUCUCUUGCUUUUUAGGGCCGCACCCAAGGUAUAUGGAGGUUCCCAGGCUAGGGGUCCAAUCAGAGCUGUUGCUGCUGGCCUAUGCCACAGCCACAGCAAUGCCAGAUCCGAGCCAUGUCUGUGACCUACACCACAGCUCAUGGCAACACCAGAUCCUUAACCUGCUGAGUGAGGCCAGGGAUCGAACCAGCAACCUCAAGGUUCCUAGUCGGAUUCAUUUCCUCUGAGCCACGAUGGGAACUCCAAUAUUUUUUUUUUAUUCAUAUGCUAUAUCCCAGCAUGUGGCACUUUACCAGGCAUAUGAUUGUUGCCCAGUUAAUGUUAUUAGUGGUUUGAUUGAUUGCAUGUAGAAUAUGUACCUGAGCUGAAUCAGGUUAAAAAAAAUCAUUCUUCUAAAUUCACCUCUUUUGUGUACUCCGAGUGGGUGGAAGAAGGGACAGACUCAGGUAGGUAUCAGGAGCCCAGUGAUUUGUGAGAGUGGGUUGAAAUGUUUUCUUUUCCUCAGUGUUUGUGGAGAGUAGGGAAGGUGAGGGCAAGAAAAUAUUCUAUCACUUUAGACAAAACACCUUAAGCUUCUAAGUGUGAGAAAUUAUUCUAAGUGAUAGGAAGAUGUGUAGCUUUACUUCCAGUUUGCUAACAUGGCCAUGUUGUGACAAGGUCCUAGAUACUGAGGCAGACUUUCGGGUGGCCUCACUUGAAAGCACCUUGGAGAUGUACAGUCCUUGUCACCAAGCCAUGAAAUCAAAUUUUGUUUGCAAACUGACUGGCUUAUACAUCUCUUUGAAAGUAAGCAUGUCGUAGCUGUUUAUUUCCAGCACAACAGCUUCAUCGGCCAUAACUAAUAAAUUCUUUACACUGAGACCAACUUUACUAAACACAGGCAUCGAUAGGAAGUGCUCCUGGAGCGAAGACAUUUCAAAGACAUUUUAAUACAGUGGCACCAUGUGGAGGGCAUUAAUCUUUCUCCUGAUUUCCUCUUAUUGUAACAAUGGAAAAGGCUUCUAAUGCGCGAACCUCGUUAAAUCAAUCAUCUUGGGAAUUUAGAUUCACAGUGUGAUAAAAGCAACAACUUUCUUUAUCUUAUGGCAAUUUUCCAUAUGUUUUGAAAGUUGGGAUCUAGGAAAAAUAAACUCUUUGAGAGAUUUAUGAUUCAGCUUCAAAUGUAUAUUUGAAUUAUUCACUUUAUUAACCAAAAGAAAUAGAAAGUCCUAGAAAGCUAAUAAAGGGUGUUUCAUUUUUAGAUAAUAUUUAUUGUUUACAUGACUGCCUAGGACAUUCCUUUUAUAUCUUUUAAGCUGUAACUACACUGACAGAAAAUAAUGGGAAAUGUAUUAAUUUGGAGCAAGGAGCUGCUUAUACUGUUCUUUAUUUACAAUUCUUUGCUAUUUUUGUUUAAGACUUUAACUGCUAUUAUCUGACAAAGCAGUUUUGUAGAGAUUAAAAAGUGCAAGGAAAACGCUUAAGACAAAAUGUCUUAAGAGGUACAGAUUUUGCCUAGACUUAACUUCUUCCUGUUUGUAUAUAGAAAAGAACACUGAAAAGGAGCACCAACUUCCAGAAUAUUUUAAAUUUGGGCCUAAAUGCACAUGGGUUAUGCCUACACAACUACAACAUUAGUACUGGCAGGUGGGAGUGACACAUUUGUAGGAGGCACUGUUUUAAUGAUAGAAUGAGAUUGGCCAGAAGAAAUGCACAAUUAAAGCAUUUGCUUUAAAUCUCUGCUGCUAUAUUAGGAAAAGAAAUUGAUUCAAAUGUUAACUUUGAUUUGCUUUUAUUAAAUGCCAUCCAUUAUUUACCUGGCUGCUAGAGUGUAGCUGGGCAUUUCACAGCAAGAUGGAUAAUAUGGGAAGGUUCUAAGGGUUCACAUAAGCACAUAGGCGUGGUUGUUUGCAGCCCUGUAGCUAAACCAUCUUGGAAUUAAUAUGGUCAAACCUUAUUUAUAUUGCUAGAUCUCUCCUGAGGUCUCCUCUUAAACUAUGGGUAUUGGUUCCGGGAAUACCUAGAUUUAGUCUAUAGACCAAGUGGGGAACUCAUGCUCUGAACUCAAGAAUUCCAAAAAUCAAUAUCAUAUUGAACCAGUUUUCUCACUGCUCUCCCAUUGUCCCUGGUUUGGUAUUUUUGGAAGUUAUAUUAACUCCUUCAGAGACAUCGAUGCCAAAUCCGUAUGAGACAAGUGUUUUCUAAUUAUAUCAUAUUAUGUUUUCUAGCUCUUUUCCAGUUUGAAUUACGCUUAUUACAUUGCACUCAGGUGUUAAAAACAGACAAAAGCGUCACCGAAACAAAAGAACUAUAUUAUUUAAAAUUAAUUCAUACUUAGUAUUAGGAAAUUUUAAAUAGCAAGCAAUUGUGUUUCAAAACUUAUAUGUGUAUGUAUAUAUACAUGUACUAUAAACAUUUUUCAGAAGUGAAAUUAUAUUCUGUAGUCUCAGAGGAGGGUAGAGCCAUUUAAAAAACAAUACUUGUGUUAUUUCUGAUCCUGAGGGAUCACUGACUCUAACCUUUGAACUUUUGUUAAACACCAGUUUUCUUCAGAAAAACAGAGUUUAAUUAAACAGUAUAGUCUUGUAGGAGAAGUACAACAUUGUAAGAAUUUUUACAUGGCUGAAAGCUUACAUGACACCUAGGUAAACUUACACUAUCUACUAAUUGACAGUGUAGAUUUCCAGGGCUCAGAGAAAACUGACAGCUGUGGGAAUGAAGUAAGCCAUCAAGAUAAGUGGUUAUCUAGGUCUAACUGAGCAGUGGUCCUUUCCCAAAUGCACUCAUCUUGUAAAAGUGGUGGUAUCAUUUGUGUUUCUGAAUAAGAAUACCAUUUUCUGUUUCUUUCUCCUCUUUGCCCUUCUCUGUCUCUCACCACCUCCUCCAUCUUCAUGCUUGUCUGUCUUCCACAAGGUUUGAUCCUGGUAGUCUACCCCCCAGUAGGCUAUUCCAUGGCCUUUGCUUGCCAACAACCCUUUAACAAAAUUUCCCCCUGUGAUGAACCGUCUCCCGGUUACUUAAUGGAGGUGGCUCAGAAACCUGUGUUUUUUGCUAUAGUUCUCUGGGGGAGCUGGAGUGAGCAGGUCUUUAGUCUCUAUUUACUUGGCCUUUCCAUAAAUUUUGAGGUUGAAAAUGUGAACUGGCACUUACCUGGAUACUUUCAGGAAACUCUGAAAUAGAAGCUUUAGUUCUAUUAGAAAAGUUUUGGGAGAAGAUCUGAUAAAUGAGAAGAUAGGAUAAUCAUGCUUGGAUAAUAAUGGGGUUGGAGAAAUGAAAGGCAGUAGGACCCUCAGUAGCUAUAGGCUUGACUUCUUUUCUGAGCAGUGCAUAGAGCAGCCACAAAGCAAGACCUUCACUGGGUGGAAGGAAAGUACUCUUACAAUUCGAUCAGAGGAGUGUGAGUAAAUUAGGAGCUAGCCAGAAGUGGAGAGAAGAAGUAGGUGCUUUGGUAAAAGGCUUGGAGACAAAUACCACUUUAUAGUAUUGAUAACUACAUUUUAUUAUACUAUGAAUUAUGUAGUCUCUGUUAUUAGACUAUAUAAUAAUAAUAGCAUAUUAUAUAUUAUAUACAACUCAUUUUUAUAAAAUUAAGUAUUUUGUUAAAAAGCAUUAUGAUAAAAUACAAUAUAGACAAAAUGUUUGUAUUAUUAUUGCAUUCUUACACUUCUCCACUGCUGCCAGAUAUGCUCAGAAAACUUUCAUAUAGAAUAUACUUGCUCCAUGCAUGUGGUUCUUAUUUAAAAUAGGAUAAGAAUGAGGUGUGUAAGAGUGUGUGCCAAUCUAUAACAAUGAAGUUCUGAACUUGUUUUAAAAGAAAAGCAUGAUUUAUUAACGUGGUGUUAUUUCCACUCUUCCUCUCUUCUGUGAGAGCAUAGGCCUCAGCUUGGUCAAUCCUCCAUUCUACCUGUGUCAUCACAUGGUGUUGCUGUGGACCACAGCUCAGCUCCAUCUAGGCACAGGUGUGUCUUCACUACCAUCCUGCUCUAUUUGCUCAGCCAUCCUGGUAUAUGCCUUCUGCUUCCUGCUGCUGAUGCUUUUCCUAGUGAUUGAUGCUGGCUUUCCUUGAUGUACACCUUUCCUGAUGGGUACUUAAAACAUUUUUCAGGAUCCUUGUGAGCUCAAUUUGAUAUCAGUAACCCUUUUUACUCUUUGAAUAUUUAUACCCUUUUCUUUAAUAAGUUUUCCCAUCUAUUUCAAAUAAAACCAAUUUAGCUAUCAGAUCUCCAGAUGGGGUCUUAGGUUUGGAGACAACUCUCCAUAUUUGCAAGGAUCCUUUCAGUGGUCUCUAGUGUUAGAGCUACAGAUGGAGAUUUUAAACUAAGAGAAUUUCCAAACUUAGCUCUUAAGAUACUGGUACUUGCCCCUGGAUGUUAAGAUCUCAAGGACUUUAACAUUGUUGAAUGACUUUGGACUGACUGAUAGAAUAGAACGUCUAUUGCAAAUGAGGUGUGAAGGGUUGAGCACCUUUCUGGAGACUUGUAGAAGCUUUGGGAAGAACACGGAAGGAAACAUGAUAA
This 5268-nucleotide long non-coding RNA is filed under the name Sus scrofa (pig). Its description in RNAcentral is "lncRNA (ENSSSCG00000054994.1)". The record is from RNAcentral. Lineage: Eukaryota; Metazoa; Chordata; Mammalia; Artiodactyla; Suidae.